This 949-nucleotide long non-coding RNA is filed under the name Eutrema salsugineum. RNAcentral's name for it is "long non-coding RNA (ESAL_LNC000224)". Lineage: Eukaryota; Viridiplantae; Streptophyta; Magnoliopsida; Brassicales; Brassicaceae. The record is from RNAcentral.
UUCUCCUUAUAUAUAUAUAUAUGUGUUGUACUUGUAAAGUGAAUAAGAAGAAGAAUAAUAAGAGAAAUAAUUUUAUCUCCUUCCUGGUCUCUGUAUCUCUUCUCCUACUCUCUUCUCUCUCAUAUAAUGGGCCUGUUCGGAGCACGACUGCUGCGGCAGCAUCAGCGACAAGGAAAAAACACGUUGACGAAGCUAUAUAUAACAAUGGGGAAAGAUAAAGGUGACGCUGGACUGUUGAAAUUAAUUGCUCAGAUAAGUCGCAACUGCCGCUAAUAUUUCCAGCGACCCAUUUCUUGCCGUUGCGUCAGUUAAUUUUAACUCCGGUUGCAUUACUCUCCACAAUCUUGCGUUCCAAACAACAAAGCUAUAUUGUUUUUUGUGUCGUUGACGCUGCCUGCAGCGUUCAUGCGCUGAACAGGCCCAAUAUAUAUACACAUAUAUAAAACACAUAUUUCACCUCAUAUAUAUAUAGAUAUAUGUUAUAGUUUAUAACAUGUUAUCAGCACGAUCGUCCCACGAUCCGUUUCUAUACCGAAAAUGUGAGGUCUAAAUUAUGUUCGAUCCGUUUAUGUUUAUAUGCUAUGGUCGAGAUGAUAAGCGUUGCCUUCUCCGAACCGAUCAUUAUGAUAGGCUAAGCCUUCACGAUCAUAUGAUAAUAUGGUAGACUAUGUCUUCUCAUAUCAAAUAUAUGGUUGGCUUAUGAUUAUAUGGUAGAUGUCUCCUCAGAUCAUUUUCUCUAUAUAAUAAAUGUCCCGAAGACAUAUAUGAAGAUUCUAGAAGAACCUUUUGUAAAAAAUAUCAAGAAGAAAUUUAAGAAAAAUUCCUUAAAUAGCUAAAUGAAAAGAAUGUCCAAAAGACAUACUUGAAAAAAAAAUGUCCAGAAGACAUAUUUGAAAAAGUUCGAGAAAACCUAUAUGAAAAAAAAAUAUAUCCAAAAGAUAUAUAUGAA